CCUGGUGGAUGUGCACUUUUGCCAUUAGAUUUCCUUCAAAGGUUACCCAAUAUAGAGAUGCUUAUUCUGAGUGAUUCCUCAACCGAAGAAAUAUUCCUAGAUGAACUGAACAUGCACGAUGAAGAAAAUACAGGGUCACUUGCACAAUUGAAAGUACUCAAGUUGUCUAAUUUGACAAAGCUUAAGCGUACGGUGGAGGAAAACUCCCAACCGGUCCAAGUUUUUGAACAUCUGGCAACCUUAGAGGUAUCCGAAUGUUACACAUUGAAAAUUUUAGUGCCAUCCUCCGUUUCAUUCCAAAAUCUGACAAAUUUGGAAGUAUCAAAAUGUCAUGGAAUGAUUAAUCUGAUAACUUCCUCAGUGGGCAGAGGUAUGAUGCAACUCAAUAGACUGAUCGUAAAAGACUGUGAAAUUAUCCAAGAAAUAGUGGCAAGUGGAGGAGAUGGAGUAGUAGAUGAGAUAUGUUUCAGCCAACUAAAAUAUUUGGAUCUUCGGUGUUUACCAUGCCUUACAAGCUUCUGCUUUGGUUAUUAUACCUUCAAUUUCCCAUCUUUAGAAA
This 559-nucleotide unclassified non-coding RNA is filed under the name Hevea brasiliensis (rubber tree). Lineage: Eukaryota; Viridiplantae; Streptophyta; Magnoliopsida; Malpighiales; Euphorbiaceae. The record is from RNAcentral.